GUCCAUAUGGUCUCGCGGUUAGGAUUCCUGUUUUUCACCCUGGCGGCCCGGGUACGACUCCCGAUAUGGGAA
RNAcentral lists this transfer RNA (72 nucleotides) under Alosa alosa (allis shad). RNAcentral describes it as "tRNA-OTHER". Lineage: Eukaryota; Metazoa; Chordata; Actinopteri; Clupeiformes; Clupeidae. The record is from RNAcentral.